UAUAUUUUAGUGUAUGAUGCACAAAAGAUUUUGAUUCUUUUAGUAAUAGUUUGAUUCUAUUAAAUAUAA
RNAcentral lists this transfer RNA (69 nucleotides) under Dexia tenuiforceps. Its description in RNAcentral is "tRNA-Gln". It matches the Rfam family "tRNA". Rfam says of the family: Transfer RNA (tRNA) molecules are approximately 80 nucleotides in length. The record is from RNAcentral. Lineage: Eukaryota; Metazoa; Arthropoda; Insecta; Diptera; Tachinidae.